This 468-nucleotide ribosomal RNA is filed under the name uncultured bacterium. Its description in RNAcentral is "partial 16S ribosomal RNA". It matches the Rfam family "Bacterial small subunit ribosomal RNA", at positions 28 to 507 of the family's 1533-position model. The record is from RNAcentral.
GACGAACGCUGGCGGCGUGCUUAACACAUGCAAGUCGAACGGAAAGGCCCUGCUUUUGUGGGGUGCUCGAGUGGCGAACGGGUGAGUAACACGUGAGUGACCUGCCCUUGACUUUGGGGUAACUUCAGGAAACUGGGGCUAAUACCGGAUAGGAGCUCCUGCUGCAUGGUGGGGGUUGGAAAGUUUCGGCGGGUGGGGAUGGACUCGCGGCUUAUCAGCUUGUUGGUGGGGUAGUGGCUUACCAAGGCUUUGACGGGUAGCCGGCCUGAGAGGGUGACCGGCCACAUUGGGACUGAGAUACGGCCCAGACUCCUACGGGAGGCAGCAGUGGGGAAUAUUGCACAAUGGGCGGAAGCCUGAUGCAGCAACGCCGCGUGCGGGAUGACGGCCUUCGGGUUGUAAACCGCUUUCGCCUGUGACGAAGCGUGAGUGACGGUAAUGGGUAAAGAAGCACCGGCUAACUACGUG